RNAcentral lists this long non-coding RNA (536 nucleotides) under Homo sapiens (human). RNAcentral describes it as "novel transcript, sense intronic to TENM3". Lineage: Eukaryota; Metazoa; Chordata; Mammalia; Primates; Hominidae. The record is from RNAcentral.
UGGUAUCUUAGGAGAGUUUAUGUUCUUGGACUACAUACUAGAAGGUACGUUAUGCAGACAGUGAAAAGACAGGAUUGAAUUAUUAGAAUAUACUUUACAGGGAGAAAUGUGUGAACCAUGUUAAAUACCUUGCAUGAAGCAUGUGCAAAUAUAUGAAUAUGAGAUUAUGCUUAUUUUGGUAAAAAGUACGCUAUUGAAAAGUAAACUAAUUGUUUAUUUUCAGUCUACCUAAUGUUCUUUUUAAAGAGUAACAUCUAUUCUAAUACUUUUUAUCAGAGAAUUUGGAAUUUGUCAACACGUAGGUAGAAAAAAAUUGGCAAGUGACUGGUUCUUUUAAAUAGCUCUUAAGAAAAUUGGCACAGAGCUUGCCAUUUGAAAUAAUUAUGAAAACCAGGGGAAGCCAGCUGUAACUUUUAUUUCUUUCAGAAUUUAUAAUAACUUCCAGCUAAAGAAAGCUAUCACUCCUAUAGUUCUUGAAGAAUAAAUCUAUGACUUUUUUUCUCUUAGGAGCAAAAAAACAAAACAAAACAAAAAAA